This 23-nucleotide non-coding RNA is filed under the name Arabidopsis thaliana (thale cress). Lineage: Eukaryota; Viridiplantae; Streptophyta; Magnoliopsida; Brassicales; Brassicaceae. The record is from RNAcentral.
CAUGCCUGUCGGGACCCGAAAGA